RNAcentral lists this ribosomal RNA (257 nucleotides) under uncultured bacterium. Its description in RNAcentral is "partial 16S ribosomal RNA". It matches the Rfam family "Bacterial small subunit ribosomal RNA", at positions 355 to 629 of the family's 1533-position model. The record is from RNAcentral.
UAGGGAAUAUUAGUAAUGGGCGAAAGCCUGAACUAGCAACGCCGCGUGUGCGAAGAAGGCCUUCGGGUUGUAAAGCACUUUUUGAGAGGAUGAGGAAGGACGGUACUCUCAGAAUAAGUCUCGGCUAACUACGUGCCAGCAGCCGCGGUAACACGUAGGAGGCGAACGUUAUCCGGAUUUACUGGGCGUAAAGCGCGUGUAGGUGGUUUGGUAAGUAGGGCGUGAAAGCUCCUGGCUCAACUGGGAGAGGCCGUUCU